Molecule: small RNA, 723 nt
Filed under: Pan troglodytes (chimpanzee)
Lineage: Eukaryota; Metazoa; Chordata; Mammalia; Primates; Hominidae
Description: retained intron
Rfam family: Small nucleolar RNA SNORD81 (bases 402-478)
Source: RNAcentral
GUAUGGUGCUGGGUGCAGAUGCAGUGUGGCUCUGGAUAGCACCUUAUGGACAGUUGUGUCCCCAAGGAAGGAUGAGAAUAGCUACUGAAGUCCUAAACAGCAAGCCUAACUCAAGCCAUUGGCACACAGGCAUUAGACAGAAAGCUGGAAGUUGAAAUGGUGGAGUCCAACUUGCCUGGACCAGCUUAAUGGUUCUGCUCCUGGUAACGUUUUUAUCCAUGGAUGACUUGCUUGGGUAUGGAGAGUCGGCUUGACUACACUGUGUGGAGCAACUUUUAAAGAAGCAAAGGACUCAGAAUUCAUGAUUGAAGAAAUGCAGGGUUUUUAACGACCACAACAAGCAAGCAUGCAGCUUACUGCUUGAAAGGUGAGGAUUGGAAAUGUUGGGACUAUUAUAAUUGCAGAAUACAUGAUGAUCUCAAUCCAACUUGAACUCUCUCACUGAUUACUUGAUGACAAUAAAAUAUCUGAUAUUCUGCAUUACCAUGUAGCAUUUUAAUUGAAGUCUGUAAGUGUGGCUAAAAGUCUUGUCUUAUUUUUUGAGACAGGGUCUUGCCUCACCCAAGCUGGAGUGCAGUGGCCUUUGAAGCUUACUACAGCCUCAAACUUCUGGGCUCAAGUGAUCCUCAGCCUCCCAGUGGUCUUUGUAGACUGCCUGAUGGAGUCUCAUGGCACAAGAAGAUUAAAACAAUGUCUCCAAUUUUAAUAAAUUUUUGCAAUCCA